Long non-coding RNA from Sipha flava (yellow sugarcane aphid), 3146 nucleotides. RefSeq lists it as uncharacterized. The record is from RefSeq and is a predicted model, not a curated record. Lineage: Eukaryota; Metazoa; Arthropoda; Insecta; Hemiptera; Aphididae. The transcript is spliced from 5 exons.
CUGUAACUAAGUUCGUGCCAACAGUAAGAACAUUGAGCUAUAGUACUGGACUUUAUAGUAAAAUGAUUCCAUAUUGUACUUCGUUUACGUUGUUGAACUAAUACCAAGACUUAUGACAUUAACGUGUAUAAGUACAAUUAAUACAAAAUAAAAAAAAAAAAAAGAAGAAAUUAUAACUAAUGAGAUGAGGUCGGAGAUUACAAUCUUGGCACUUUAUACUAAUGAUGGUAAGAAAUGGUCAAGAUGUGUCAUUUGAGAACGAAUGGGUCACACUUGUGAACGAACCAAUCCAGUUCGCAAAAAUAUAAAAAGUCGUUCAUUCGUUCAUUCGUUCAAUUUUGUUCUCGUUCGGGUUGCACUGUUUGUGAACGAAUCGACCCGGAAUCCGGAUCAUUAAUUGAAAGUCCUUCAUUCGUCCGAUUUUGAUUUGGUUGCACUGUUCGUAAACGAUGUUUUUUCUUUAAUUAAAAUCGCUUGUAUUUAAUUGGAACAACACAUACAUACGACUGUUUCCAGAACGUUAUCUCAAAAAUAUUUUACUAGCUAAUUUCAUGAAAACAAACGUUCCGUGUGUAUAAUUGUUUUUUUUGUUUUACGAUUAAUUCCAGCACAGUUCGCAGCGGUAAUAAAUAUUCAAUAAAAAUCAAAAGGAGAGAAUGGGUUGAAUACAUAUAGAGAGCAGGAGAAAAAUAUAUAACAAUGAUCCAGAAAAAUGUCCUAUUAGAGGAUGCGAAUAACAGAGAUCGAUGAAAGGAAUUAAUGAUGGCAAAAAUGAAUCUACAAAGCUCAAUAAGCUGUUAAGAAAAAGAAGAUAUACUUAUGUUUUAAUUAACUAAUUCAUAUUUAAUAUAAGAUCAGAUUACUUUAUCAUUAAUCUAUUUAUAUUUUUGUUGAUUUUAACCUGUUUUUUUUGGUUUGUAAUCAUUAGUCUAGCUUUUGAAAAAAGCCUUUUGCAUGGAACUGAUGUUGCUAAGAUAUGUAGACGUAUUUUUACAAUUUCAUAGAGGCGUGGAUAUAUUUUUUGUUAUUCUGAUAACCAGAGCUAAGGAUUUCCAUGUUUAUUGAUGAUUGGUUCAUUUAAUUAUUUAUCUAUAACAAUUAUCCCUGCUGCUGUAUAGUUAUUUCUACUAAUGGCAUUAUUUACAGAUUCAUCAAAUUAUUUCCAAGUUGCUGAAUUGGAAUACAGAGGUGCUAAAGAACAUGAUGGUUGAGAUGUGAUGUCUAAUUGUUCAGUUUGUAUACUCGAUAAUUUAUUUUGAAGUUGAAAUACACCUCUAUUAUAUUUAUCUGUAUUAUUAAAUCUAUGUUUUUUGAAUCUACAAUCCAAAAUUAUAGUUAGAGUAAUGAGAAUAUCAUCUUUAAUUUUGUCAAACCAAAUCAUAAUAUUUUCUAGUGUUGACCAUAUUCAGCACUUCUAGAGGUAAACUUUUUUCAUUUAUAAACGUGAGUAAUUUUUUAAAUGGCUUUUACAAAAAUGACCUGUUUUGAAAUUGUUAUAUAUUAUUCAACUGUAACUUCAUAAAAAUGUUAUUUUAUAAAAAUACAUCUUUAGAUUUAUCGACCACUUACCAUUAAUGGGGAGCAUGAGUGUUUAAUUCAAUUUUGUUUAAAAUGACUAAUGUUGCAAUGAUUGGUUCCUUAAUUUUCAAUACUCUAUCCAGCAAAUUAUAGGUUGAGUUUUAGCGUAUCUGUUAAUUUUGUUUUAGUUUUAAAAUUGGGUAUUCUGUAUGUUUUUAAUAUUCGUGUAAUAUGACUAAUGUGUGAGAACUUCUAUUAAAAUAUGAUACAAUAUCUUUUAUUUUUGUUAUUAUUGAUUCAAUUUUUAUUAAUCCAGAAUGAAUAAUCAAGUUGAUAGUAUGGGCAAAACAUGACAGCCGUCUCCAAUUGCAUUUAUCAAUUGCAAGUUUUAUAUUCUCAGCAUUAUCUGUUACCACAACAGUUAUACACUACUUCAACUAAUCAUGACGUUCUAGGAAACCGGUACAUCCCAACAAAACAUGAUAAUUCAAUGAUAUUUUCUGGAUGUAUAAAGUAAGCAAUAACUGCAACAAAACUUUAAUUAUUCCUUAAUGUUCAUUUAUCAGUAGUCAAACAUACUGCAGAUAGAUUUCUAAAUAUGUUCUUAACUCUUUGGACAAUCAUCUUACAUAUUUGUGGCAAUAAACUAUUUGAAACUAUUUUCUUAAAGAUUUACUGACAUAUAAUGGCAGAGUUCAUAGGAUGAAAUUUGUACGAAAAAUGAAUGACUUGUACUUUGGAUCAUUGAAGAUGAUUUAGUUACCGAAGAAUUUAAUGUUACAGAUAUUUCUGAUUGAUAAGUAUAAAUGGAUGUUAGUUGUUGUGUAUUGUCCAAAUAUUCAGAGUUUGAGUCCUCUAUCUAAUGAAAAAUUAUUUAUUCUCUAAUGAGGAUGGAGACCAUUGGAAUUACUUUGGAUCAUUGUGUCAGUAUAAUGGGAAAUCAUGUGGAUUACUGAAUUAACCAGCAACUAACCACCAACAUUCUAAUACGAAGCCCAACAAAUAUGGGAUAGAUAUUUUGAUUAUUUUAAUAAUCAAGGAGCGUGCAGGGCCAACAAGAACUUUUGAGUGCGCCAAAGGUGAUUAGUUUCAAGCCCCCUAUACUUAAACUUGUUUGGUCAAGAUAUACAUACUACUUGUACAUACUUAAUAAAAUAAAAAUAUUUAAAUUUGCAAAUUAUGCUAUAGUGAAUGAGAUUAUAAAAUAAUUUUGUAUAAGAGGCUGAAACAACGGGCCAUCUUGGAGAUAUGGGCCCCAGGGCUCUUGCACUUACCACCCUCUCACCGGCCCUGGGAGCAUGGCAAAACCGAAUCAAUGAAAUUUUAAUUACGUCGCUAACCAAAUGCAUUAUACCUACCUAUUGUUUAAUAAAAUUAAUCAUAAUAUUAAUUACCGAUUUCGAUUGUGUAGAUCGCUGUUGAACAAACGGAUGAAUGAAUGAGUUCAUUUGAUUGAACCAAAAUACUUUUGGCUUAUAGAUGUCAUCUGUAUCCUUUCUAGAUCUUAUGCUGUCUGAUAUUUUUUUUAACUCUUGACACUGCAGCUGCACGUAAAUCUCUAUCACGGUAUGCAUCCAAGGCUGGGUCGUAUAGCACUUUUUCCAUUGAAUAUAACUCCAAAAAACGUG